ACAUGACUCUCGGCAACGGAUAUCUCGGCUCUCGCAUCGAUGAAGAACGUAGCGAAAUGCGAUACCUGGUGUGAAUUGCAGAAUCCCGCGAACCAUCGAGUCUUUGAACGCAAGUUGCGCCCGAGGCCGUCGGGCCGAGGGCACGCCUGCCUGGGCGUCACGC
This 163-nucleotide ribosomal RNA is filed under the name Borinda dura. RNAcentral describes it as "Fargesia dura 5.8S ribosomal RNA". It matches the Rfam family "5.8S ribosomal RNA". Rfam says of the family: 5.8S ribosomal RNA (5.8S rRNA) is a component of the large subunit of the eukaryotic ribosome. It is transcribed by RNA polymerase I as part of the 45S precursor that also contains 18S and 28S rRNA. The record is from RNAcentral. Lineage: Eukaryota; Viridiplantae; Streptophyta; Magnoliopsida; Poales; Poaceae.